Molecule: small nucleolar RNA, 107 nt
Organism: Juglans microcarpa x Juglans regia
Lineage: Eukaryota; Viridiplantae; Streptophyta; Magnoliopsida; Fagales; Juglandaceae
Source: RefSeq, a predicted model, not a curated record
AGGUCGUGAUGUGGACACUUGUGCAAUAAGUCUUUGUUUCGCUCCCCCGCCUCAUACAAUGAUUUAUCCUCAAAUUGGACGAAGGUAGUAAUAUCAUUCCUUAAUUU